This 80-nucleotide small RNA is filed under the name Paramagnetospirillum magnetotacticum. RNAcentral's name for it is "Magnetospirillum magnetotacticum Makes More Granules Regulator RNA (mmgR)". It matches the Rfam family "Makes More Granules Regulator RNA (mmgR)". Rfam says of the family: SuhB later renamed mmgR (makes more granules regulator) was a putative non-coding RNA found multiple times in the Agrobacterium tumefaciens genome and related alpha-proteobacteria. Other non-coding RNAs uncovered in the same analysis include: speF, ybhL, metA, and serC. The record is from Rfam by way of RNAcentral. Lineage: Bacteria; Pseudomonadati; Pseudomonadota; Alphaproteobacteria; Rhodospirillales; Magnetospirillaceae.
GUCCGAUGCCCAUGGCGGGCGUUUCCUCCCUUGACUUCGGCCCCGCGCGACGACCGCUGCGGGGCCUUUUUUUCGGCUCC